UCGUGCGAGAAGUAGACUUCGGUCUAUGAGUAGAGCGGCGCACGGGUGAGUAACGCGUGGAUGAUCUACCCUUGAGUUCGGGAUAACGGUGCGAAAGCGCCGCUAAUACCGUAUAACAAUCCAUUUCAUCGUGGGUUCAAAGCAGGCCUCUUCGUGAAAGCUUGCGCUUGGGGAUGAGUCCGCGUCCCAUUAGCUUGUUGGCGGGGUAACGGCCCACCAAGGCUACGAUGGGUAGCUGGUCUGAGAGGAUGAUCAGCCACACUGGAACUGAAACACGGUCCAGACUCCUACGGGAGGCAGCAGUGGGGAAUAUUGCGCAAUGGGGGAAACCCUGACGCAGCGACGUCGUGUGAGGGAAGAAGGCCUUCGGGUCGUAAACCUCUGUCAGAAGGGAAGAACAUCCGGGAGUCGAACAGCCUCCCGGCCUGACGGUACCUUCAGAGGAAGCGCCGGCUAACUCCGUGCCAGCAGCCGCGGUAAUACGGAGGGCGCAAGCGUUAAUCGGAAUCACUGGGCGUAAAGCGUGCGUAGGCUGUUUGAUAAGUCAGGCGUGAAAUCCCUCGGCUCAACCGGGGAACUGCGUUUGAUACUGUUGAACUAGAGUCCUGGAGAGGGUGGCGGAAUUCCUGGUGUAGGAGUGAAAUCCGUAGAUAUCAGGAGGAACACCGGUGGCGAAGGCGGCCACCUGGACAGGUACUGACGCUGAGGUACGAAAGCGUGGGGAGCAAACAGGAUUAGAUACCCUGGUAGUCCACGCGGUAAACG
Molecule: ribosomal RNA, 765 nt
Filed under: uncultured bacterium
Lineage: Bacteria
Description: bacterial SSU rRNA
Rfam family: Bacterial small subunit ribosomal RNA
Source: RNAcentral